GACGAACGCUGGCGGCGUGCUUAACACAUGCAAGUCGAACGGAAAGGCCCUGCUUUUGUGGGGUGCUCGAGUGGCGAACGGGUGAGUAACACGUGAGUAACCUGCCCUUGACUUUGGGAUAACUUCAGGAAACUGGGGCUAAUACCGGAUAGGAGCUCCUGCUGCAUGGUGGGGGUUGGAAAGUUUCGGCGGUUGGGGAUGGACUCGCGGCUUAUCAGCUUGUUGGUGGGGUAGUGGCUUACCAAGGCUUUGACGGGUAGCCGGCCUGAGAGGGUGACCGGCCACAUUGGGAUGGAGCUACGGCCCAGCCUCCUCCGGGAGGCAGCAGUGGGGAAUGUUGCAUUAUGGGCUGAACGCUAAUGCAGUAACGCCGCGUGCGGGAUGACGGCCUUCGGGUUGUAAUCCGCUUUCGCCUGUGACGAAGCGUGAGUGACGGUAAUGGGUAAAGAAGCACCGGCUAACUACGUG
Molecule: ribosomal RNA, 468 nt
Filed under: uncultured bacterium
Lineage: Bacteria
Description: partial 16S ribosomal RNA
Rfam family: Bacterial small subunit ribosomal RNA
Source: RNAcentral